CGAGGUUAGCGAGCAUACAUUCUUGCUUGGUGUUCGCAUUUGGGCGGCUGCAAAACAAUAUGCCACUUCUUCCCUGGUCUCUGGAGAUCUUCGUCUCCAGAUGCCUAAUCGUGCUGGCGGCGACAGCAGCAGCAGCAGCAGCAGCAAGCGAUCGGUCCGGGAGCUGCAGCACCGCCUCUACUUGUCCCUCCAGGGAUUCAUGCUUCUCGGCUCCAGGCUGGCUGUCACGGUAAAUCGAUGGCUAUCGCGUUUCCAUCAUGAAGAUUCCAGGUGUUGGCAAAUGUAGCAUGUUACCGGAUCCCAAACUCGGGCCGCUGCGCCUUUCAGGUGACUUGAUUUGGAGAAGUUUGGGGGAACUUGCUCUGAUGGUUUGAUCAUGUUUGAGUCUCCUCUGGCACGAACGUCACCUCCGAUUCUACAGCCUACAUGAAGUUUCGCCCCAGCUCAAUUCCCUCAACGAUGUCCACGGGGCGGUGUUAGCGAUACACAUCUCAAGCGAGUAGCGAGCUUACUAACGAGCACGGCUUGACCUGGAUACAGGAGUCGAGCGGUCCGAGCGAGUCGCGCAGGACAGUUUGUGGUCUGUGCAGUAACUUCUUCACGACUUGCGCACGCACGCUGGCGCGGCUCCGUGUGGAGGAGGAUUUGCAGGACCAGCUGCUGGCAGAGCGUCAGGCGGGAUAGCAUGAAAACGCUACGGGGAACGAUGGCCGCAUUCUCGCUGGCAUUCUCAGAGUCUGAGCGACUUUGUUCAUC
Molecule: long non-coding RNA, 756 nt
Organism: Selaginella moellendorffii
Lineage: Eukaryota; Viridiplantae; Streptophyta; Lycopodiopsida; Selaginellales; Selaginellaceae
Exons: 3
Source: RefSeq, a predicted model, not a curated record